Molecule: non-coding RNA, 951 nt
Organism: Pantherophis guttatus
Lineage: Eukaryota; Metazoa; Chordata; Lepidosauria; Squamata; Colubridae
Source: RefSeq, a predicted model, not a curated record
GACGGUUUUGCCUCCAUAGGGCAUUUGGGAGGGGCGCGUGAGGGAAGUAGACGUUGGAGCGGCUCCGGCGGCCGACUCUUGAGUAGUGGGCCUUGACAGGAAGGCGGGAGAGGCGCGUGUGUGAGGCGUGGGUAUUUUGUUACCUCUGUGUGGUUCUUAAAGGAGCCAACGAACGGACUGCGCGGCAAAAGCCGUACUGUGAUAGGUUUCUUUUAGAAGAGAGGAUAAGGCGAUCUAGUGUGUCGAGGGUGAUAUUUACAGCAGGUGUGUUUUGCUAUGUGUGUCGACAAUUAUCAAGACAAAGAACGAAAAGUACUCUGAAAGCAUCAAUUAAGAUGUCUAAAAAACAUACUUUGGCAUGCCUGUCAGUAAUCAAGACAAGCCCUGGGCACUUCAUUUCACAUUCGAACACUGCAAGAAAACUCUUGAAGAGUGGUACAGGGGAGAAAAGAGCCCUGAAGCUUGCUAUCCCAAGAAUUUGUUGGAUGGAAGUGUGCAAGUCACAGAUCAGAGAAAGCAUAUAAUUUAAUAAUGGAUCACACAAGGAUCAUGUAUAAAACAAAACUACUCUUGACAAAUAGCACUGGUGAUUGAACAGAAUGGCCACUUCCUCAAAGUCAUUACUGAAGUGUCUCAAAGAUGGGUAGUGGAAGAUAAGAUUGGCAGCUGCUCUGCUAUGAUUGGUUAUUAAGUUUUUAUGCAAAUUUGAAUAAAGGGAGCAAUUAAGAAAGUUGUGUGUUCUUUCCUGCAAAGGAUAUGGAGUUAUUGUAGGUGAUGUGCCAUUGAAUCUUCCUCAUCAAAGAAUUGAAAGUAAGAUCCUGAAUCUCACUGUAAAGAUUCAUUUGUGUGCUGGUUGUAAAACAAUAAGGCAUUUAAUCACAGAAAACAGUCUCCCUAGUAUGUCUGAGUUACAGGAUAUUUUUAAUAAAGCCUACAUCCUUUUUCAAGUCU